CUGUCCCUCUCACAUCAUAGUAAGACCGGCGUCCUAAAUGUGGACCCCUGUUAAAUUUUUGGGGCUCCUGCUCCAAUACGAGGGGACAGUUUUUGUGUUGUCCGUGAAGGAUUAUACAAUUUCCCAUUUUCGCAGAGUGUGUUCUUCUUAGAGAAAAAUGACGAGGGUGAGGUAAAUGAGUGAAAUGGAGAGCUAAUCUUUUGAAUGAUUUCAACUAUUAUGAAUAUUUAGAGUUCGAUUUUGGUUUUGAUCUUUAAAUAAAGUUUUGUUAUUGCAAUGAAAUUCAAAUUUCGUUGGUUUUUUUGGGAUUUUUAUGUUGGGUUUUUACAGGAAUGUGAGUGAAAGGUGUAAACAUCUAUGAAAAUUUAGUUAGAUUAAAGUAAAGGGUUCUUGUUAUUUUCUCCAUCGAGUUAUAGAUUUCAAGAAAUUUGGAUUUAUAAACCUCUGUGUUUAGGCCUUUAGGGUUUUUAAUCAUUUAAUCAAUCUGUGUAAGUGUUGGAUUUAAGUCGGUUAGACUUUUAAAAUCCAGAUUUGGUUCUGUAAACAUCAUCUGUAUCAUUUGAUAACAUCAUCUAAUAUCUCAUUUUGAAUCUGUAUUUGGUUUAUCAUCUUCUAAAAAUCACAUCUUUAUAUCAUUUUGAAUGGAUUCCAAGUAUAAGGAUUUAGAAAACCUGGGGCACAUUUCACGGAGAAAGAUUCAGAGGAUCAACCAGUUCCACCACCAGAGGAAAUGAUAGAGAAUGGGAAUCCUGUGAAUGGAACUAUGGAAGAGGAAGAUGAUGAUGUUAUGUUGAAUGAAAGAAUUCGGAAGGAUGAUGAUACUACAAGUUAUAAUAGUGUGUUUAGAGAUUCAGAAAUGGGGGAUAAUCAUCAGCAGCAAUUUUGACCUUCUGUUGUUUUUUGAUCGAUGAGUGUUCAAUGAUUACAUGAUGCAGGCACACAGUUGCAAUUAAACCCAUUACGAAGAUCUGCAUCUCAAAAGCUCGAUUCUACUUUUUGAAUCCUCUCUUUCAAGAAAAAGAAGGAGCUUCCUCGAGAAAAUGGUGAAAAAGACUACCUGCAGCCGCAGCAAGAUGAUAUCCAUACCUGGAUCUUGAAACUGCAUAUGCAGCGCAAAUUUGCUUAACCUGGGAGGCUUUUCAGUUGCUAAGAGUAAGAAGAUAGAGAAGGAAGGAGAGCAGGAGGAUGAAUAAGAAGAGUCGGAUGAACCAGUCCUUGGCUCUGACCUUAUUGGAAUAAUCAAAACUUAGCAUCUGACCUUCCACGUAUUCUUGAAAAAGGAUAAGAAAAAAGAAAGUGAAAUUCUUAGUUUCGUUUGGAGGUCAGAAUCAUAUUGCAACUCCCCUUCAACUUUGUUCAAUGUGCCCUUAAUAAGGAACUUCAUAAAAAGAAGAAACGAUGGAAAAGAAUACAUGGCUUGCAACAAACGAAGAAGCAAAGCUGUUAUUUGGACUCAUUGACAUUUAAGUUCUAUCUACAAUUUGGAGUAUGAUUGCGAUCAGCAAGCAACAGGUGUGAAGUGAAAAUUCGCAAGUUAGAUGUAUCAGAAAACAAGCUGAAGAGAGAUAGGUCUCCAAUCUUGUUUCCUUGUUAAAGCAUAAGCUUUGAAGAUGGUUAAGAUAAGCAAGGAACAGUUGUUUUGGUGCGUGGAGAAAAUGAGCAAGUUAGAUGUAUCGGAAAGAAAGCAUAAGAGAGAUGGGCCUCCAGUCUUGUUCCCUUAUUAUAUCAUAAGGCAUGCAGUUGCAAUCAAACCCAUGUCCAGGGUCUGCAUCUGAAAAUCUCGUUUCUACUUUUUGAACCCUCUCUUUCAAGAAAAAGAAGGAGCUUCCUCGAGAAAAUGGUGAAGAAGAGUACCUGCAGCAAGGUGGUAUUCAUACCUGGACCUUGAAACUGCAUAUGUAGCGCAAAUUUGCUUAACCUGGGGGGCUCUUCAUUGUCGAUACACACAACUAAGCUAGAAAUUUUCGUCCGUGCUGCUCAGCUAUUUCUAGCCAUUGAGCAGCCUCCAAUCUGAAAUUUUUGCUGGAAAUAGAAGUUCCUUCACCAAGAUGCUUUAGGUUCCAAGCAUUAAAGUUGCUAAGAAGAUAGAUAAGGAAGUAGAGCAGGUGGAUAAAGAAGAAGAGUCAGAUGAACCAGUCCUCGGGGCGGCUGACCUUAUCGGAAUAGUCAAGACUUCUCUUCUGACCUUUCUCGUAUUUAUGAAAAUGGAUAAGAAAAAAGAAAGUACAAUGCGUAGUUUGUCUGGAGGUCAGAAUCGUAUUGCAAGUCCCCUUCAACUUAUUCAAUCUUCCCUUGAUAAGGAACUUCGCAAAAAGAAGAAAAGGUGGAGAAAGAAAACGUGACUUCCAACAACCGAAGAAGUAAAGCUGUUAUUUGGGCUCAUCGACAUUUAAGUUCUAUCUACAAGCUUUGAGGAUAGUUGGGAUCAGCACGGACAGUUGCUUUGGCAUGAGGAGACAAUGAGAGCCACGGCUAGGAAGACGGGGACGUAAUUCAGCAGCUCGUAAUGAUGUUCUGAUUCAUGGUUCAGAAGAAAAUAUUUAAACCAGAGGAAUUCCCCAAUUUGGCAGGACAAAAGGAUGGAUAAUUUUAGUUCUCAGUAUCUAUUGUAUUUGUUACAUCAUCUAGUGCUUCUUUACCCACCAAUAUUGUACAAGUGACUGGGAGUGAUUUUAACCCAGCCUGGGUAAAGUUUUUCUCUGUAAAUUGUCGACUUGUCUCGAGUUUGAGUCUUUGUCGUCAACAUGGUGAUGUUGUGUCAUGUUUUAUAGCCGGCAAACAUCAGUAACUGUCCAAAUGAGUAAACUCCAGAUGGUUUAAAAUCAAAUGUUGCUUGCGCUAGAUUUGAA
Molecule: long non-coding RNA, 2849 nt
Organism: Papaver somniferum (opium poppy)
Lineage: Eukaryota; Viridiplantae; Streptophyta; Magnoliopsida; Ranunculales; Papaveraceae
Exons: 9
Source: RefSeq, a predicted model, not a curated record